UCAAGCCUGAGAUUAGCCUCACUUAUGGUGGCAGCCCUGGGCUUCACAGUUUUAGGGAAAAUAGGAGUUUCUGGCAGAGAGAGAGUAGACAUUCUCCAGAUCGUUCCAAAUCUCAUCUACUUCUUCUGAGAGUUUAUCUGCUGCAGACUUAUGUGACAGCGAGUCAGAGUUGGAGGAGCUAUCGACUAAGCUCAAGUAGUCACUGUCAAUGGGAACACGAUGGACUGCCAUAGCACCAGUCUGUCCUGCAGCAGAGAAUAUGUGGAGAUGGGCAGGGCGAGUGCUCUCUCUCAACAGAGAGUGAGGGAUCCAAGGUGGCAGUGCCAGACUACUUUGCCUCCUAAUCCUCCCCAUGGCUCAGAGUUCACUCUCAGUGUUUAAUAACAUCUUACUUCAAAUACAA
Molecule: non-coding RNA, 403 nt
Organism: Taeniopygia guttata (zebra finch)
Lineage: Eukaryota; Metazoa; Chordata; Aves; Passeriformes; Estrildidae
Source: RefSeq, a predicted model, not a curated record